ACGUGGGCAAUCUGCCCGUAAGACUGGGAUAACUCCGGGAAACCGGGGCUAAUACCGGAUAAUCCUGACUCUCUCCUGAGAGUCAGUUGAAAGAUGGUUUCGGCUAUCACUUACGGAUGAGCCCGCGGCGCAUUAGCUAGUUGGUGAGGUAACGGCUCACCAAGGCGACGAUGCGUAGCCGACCUGAGAGGGUGAUCGGCCACACUGGGACUGAGACACGGCCCAGACUCCUACGGGAGGCAGCAGUAGGGAAUCUUCCGCAAUGGACGAAAGUCUGACGGAGCAACGCCGCGUGAGUGAAGAAGGUUUUCGGAUCGUAAAACUCUGUUGUUAGGGAAGAACACGUACGAGAGUAACUGCUCGUACCUUGACGGUACCUAACCAGAAAGCCACGGCUAACUACGUGCCAGCAGCCGCGGUAAUACGUAGGUGGCAAGCGUUGUCCGGAAUUAUUGGGCGUAAAGCGCGCGCAGGUGGUUCUUUAAGUCUGAUGUGAAAGCCCCCGGCUCAACCGGGGAGGGUCAUUGGAAACUGGGGAACUUGAGUGCAGGAGAGGAAAGUGGAAUUCCACGUGUAGCGGUGAAAUGCGUAGAUAUGUGGAGGAACACCAGUGGCGAAGGCGACUUUUCUGGCCUGUAACUGACACUGAGGCGCGAAAGCGUGGGGAGCAAAACAGGAUUAGAUACCCUGGUAGUCCACGCCGUAAACGAUGAGUGC
This 717-nucleotide ribosomal RNA is filed under the name Jeotgalibacillus marinus. RNAcentral describes it as "bacterial SSU rRNA". It matches the Rfam family "Bacterial small subunit ribosomal RNA", at positions 115 to 816 of the family's 1533-position model. The record is from RNAcentral. Lineage: Bacteria; Bacillati; Bacillota; Bacilli; Caryophanales; Caryophanaceae.